CCUGGCCCCUCAUGCCUCCGUGCUUGCGCGUGUGCCAUUUCCUCUCUCCAGAGGACCUUUCCUGCCUAGGACUCAUGAUUGUCCCCUCCCUGGCAUUUUUUACACCUGGAGCAGCCAGAGGACGCAUGCAUGGCUCUUCGGAAGCCUUCUCCUGCCACGGCAUGCACCCACACAUGCGAGCCUCCCGGGUACUGUCAUCCUGAAUUCUGAGACCAUCCAGCACUUCCUUUAGUUUUGCCCUGGUGCUGUUGACUUUUGUUUACUGAAGAGUGUGCUGGAGGCAGGACAAGGGACAUGGAAGGCUGCAAUUUAAGAGUCUAAAAGGUUUUAGAAUCCUGAAGGAGGUUUAACAAGCUG
RNAcentral lists this long non-coding RNA (357 nucleotides) under Homo sapiens (human). RNAcentral's name for it is "non-protein coding lnc-RNMT-2:3". The record is from RNAcentral. Lineage: Eukaryota; Metazoa; Chordata; Mammalia; Primates; Hominidae.